This 952-nucleotide non-coding RNA is filed under the name Clupeoides sp. Chao Phraya. RNAcentral describes it as "12S rRNA". It matches the Rfam family "Bacterial small subunit ribosomal RNA". Lineage: Eukaryota; Metazoa; Chordata; Actinopteri; Clupeiformes; Clupeidae. The record is from RNAcentral.
CAAAGAUUUGGUCCUGAUCUUAUUGUCAGCUUUAACCCAAUUUACACAUGCAAGUCUCCGCAACCCUGUGAGGAUGCCCCCACUCCCCCGUCCGGGGACGAGGAGCCGGUAUCAGGCACAAUAUUAGCCCAAGACACCUUGCUUAGCCACACCCCCAAGGGUAUUCAGCAGUGAUAGACAUUAAGCCAUAAGUGAAAACUUGACUUAGCCAGGGAUAAGAGGGCCGGUUAAACUCGUGCCAGCCACCGCGGUUAUACGAGAGGCCCAAGUUGACAUUAUCGGCGUAAAGAGUGGUUAUGGGAACAAUAAACUAAAGCUAAAGACUUCUCCGGCCGUUAUACGCUCAUAGAAGUUCGAACACCACUAACGAAAGUAGCUUUAAACCCUCCUACCAGAACCCACGACAGCUAGGGCACAAACUGGGAUUAGAUACCCCACUAUGCCUAGCCAUAAACUUAGAUAUUAUAGUACAUAAAUAUCCGCCAGGGGACUACAAGCCUAGCUUAAAACCCAAAGGACUUGGCGGUGCUUCAAACCCACCUAGAGGAGCCUGUUCUAGAACCGAUAAUCCCCGUUCAACCUCACUACUUAUUGCUCUUUCCGCCUAUAUACCACCGUCGCCAGCUUACCCUAUGAAGGGCCAACAGUAAGCAAGAUGAACACUGUCCAAAACGUCAGGUCGAGGUGUAGCGUACGAAGUAGAAAGAAAUGGGCUACAUUACCUAAAUAUAGGUUAUUACGAAAGGUAAUUCUGAAAUCGAUAACCAGAAGGUGGAUUUAGCAGUAAAGAAGGAGUAGAGCGCCUUCUUGAAGCCGGCUCUGAAGCGCGCACACACCGCCCGUCACUCUCCCCAACAACCGCUUAAACCAAAAGUAAGUAACAACUAUAAUGGUUACAAGGGGAGGUAAGUCGUAACAUGGUAAGUGUACCGGAAGGUGCACUUGGAAUAAU